RNAcentral lists this long non-coding RNA (1333 nucleotides) under Nicotiana benthamiana. RNAcentral's name for it is "long non-coding RNA (NBEN_LNC014893)". Lineage: Eukaryota; Viridiplantae; Streptophyta; Magnoliopsida; Solanales; Solanaceae. The record is from RNAcentral.
GGUCUAAUGUCAAUGUUUACAUGGUAUCAGAGCCUAGACGACGAUCCGAUUAUGUUCUCUACAUCUCGUUGUCUUGGUUGAACUCUUUUUGCGAUUUUCUAGGGAUUUUUCUGAGACCUUAUGGUCGAUGAUGGUUCUGACCUAGAUCGGAUGCUUUUCCGAGUUUUUCGACAUGAUAUUUGAGUAUAUUCUCUUCACCCGAACAUUCUAAGAGUUUUCCUGCUGAUUUUGGGUGGUUUCUCAGUGACCUAUCGGCUUCUAGGGUUUCUGAUAGUUUAACCUAGGGUUCUAUUGCUUUCCGGUGGCUCGAUUCUCACUCAGUGGACGUUUUGGGUGCCUCUCCGACGUUCCUGACUGACCUAUCGGCUUCUAGGGUUUCUGGUGGUUUAACCUAGAGUUUUACUGCUAUCCGGUGGCUCGAUCUUCACUCAGUGGAUGUUUUGGGUGCCUUUCCGACAUCCCUGACCACACUUCCAGUAUGGAUUUCGACGGUUACACCUAGGGUGUUGUACCUAGGGUUUUCUCUGUUGUUUGAAGGCCGAUCUUCUCCGGUCACGAAGAAGGAGGGUAACUCUGUCCUUAUCUUCGGUAUUAUAUGUGAUUAUCUGACUCUCUGUAUUUGAGCAUCUGGUGUUGUCUGUGAAUACCUGAUUUGGUUAUACUCUGUUUGUUGGUUGUUAUGUGUAAAUACCUGAUUUGGUUAUACUCUGUUUGUUGAAAAAUUAUUCUUUUAAGCCGGUUCAUUGACUAUGGCUUCUAACACAAAUAGUGGUGCCUCCUCUUCUGUAGACUCUUCCAGUCCCCUUUUUGUAUAUUCUUCUGAUGUUCCUGGGGUCUCUCUCGUUCCCACUCCCUUCUCGGGUAGUGGUUAUGGGGGCUGGAAACGUAAAAUGAUUGUUGCCUUAUCAGCCAAAAACAAAAUCGGUUUUGUUGAUGGCACAUGCUCCCGACCUGCCACUAAUAUGGCUCAACAAAGGGUCAGCCAAAACCAAAAUCGGUUUUGUUGAUGGCACAUGCUCCCGACCUGCCACUAAUAUGGCUCAACAAAGGUUGUGGGAUAGGUGCAACAACAUGGUGAUUUUUUGGUUGACUGCUUCGCUCUCCCCUGCAAUUGCUGAAUCUGUGCAGUACUCUGACACUGCACAGAGCAUAUGGUCCCAACUCCAGGCCAGAUAUGGCACUGCAAAUAGGACCAAAAUCUUUGAACUGAAAAGAGAAUUGUCCCGCACCUCUCAAGGGUCCAUAGAUAUAGCUUCCUAUUUUAAUAAGAUAAAAGGUCUGUGGGAUGAACUUGAUUCAAUGUGUGUUAAUCAUGGUCAAAGGUGUGUUUGUG